Paramuricea clavata is the source of this 355-nucleotide non-coding RNA. The record is from the annotation of a GenBank genome assembly. NCBI's taxonomy places the organism in Eukaryota, Metazoa, Cnidaria, Anthozoa, Malacalcyonacea, Plexauridae.
CAUCAAUAGAUGUUGUCACAUCAGUGGCCGGUCGCUGUAAAACACCUGAAAACUUGCCGAGUAAACGCCUAUAGCUCUAUACGCUGAUCUCAUGUAGUACCAUGCAGACAAAAACAUUACCACUUACCAUGCAGUGUAGAACUUUAAACAUGUAGAUAUAACAUGGUAGUUGACUUAGAAAGGACUACAAUAUAUGGGCGGUCCAUGUCUAGUUUAUAUUCAAUAGUUGGAAAGUGCACGGAUGGUUUGGAACGCAUUGAUCGUGUGUUGUAAUUUUGUAUUGUAGCUUUGUUAAAGUUUGUAACCCUGUCUCUAUUGUUUUUCAAUGUCAAUGUAAUGUGUAAGUAGGACUUAA